UUUAAAAGGUGGAUAUUCCUUCUAUGUUUAUGUUGUUAUGAUUAAACAUAGAGGAAAUUCCACGUUUUCAG
This is a non-coding RNA of Ictidomys tridecemlineatus (thirteen-lined ground squirrel), 71 nucleotides long. Lineage: Eukaryota; Metazoa; Chordata; Mammalia; Rodentia; Sciuridae. The record is from Rfam.